AUGGCGGACGCCAGGGACACGACCGCCACCAGCACCGACCACCACCACCACCAAACUAGCCGCGGCGCAGCGGCACCGCCAGCGGCGAAAGGCGGCGCGACCAUAUCCAUCACCAUCGUCCUCCUCGCGCUGCUCGUGGCCUCUGUCGCGGCGUUCCAGAUGUCGUCGCCAUCGCCCCGGAUGGAGGCACCGGGCGUGGGGGAUGGCAGCCGCCCCGGCGCCGAGCCGGUGGAGCAGGCCGUCGGCCAUGGCGGCGUCCCCGGGUUCAACAGCCGGCUGGACGCGUUCCGCGCGUGGGCCAAACUGACGUGGAUGAAGCUUCAGCGGCCGCGCUCCGAUGAUCCACGGUAUGAUGCUGGUGGAAAUGGAAUCGCCGGCUCGGCAGCGGAGGCGACGAAGAAGAGCCUGGAGAUGGGCAAAGAGACGGCGGAGCAGGCGGCGGCGAGCGCCGCGGGGCUGGCCAGGGACACGGUGAAGGGAGUGGCCGCGCCCAACUCCGGUGCAGAGCUGUGA
Molecule: ribosomal RNA, 513 nt
Filed under: Triticum aestivum (bread wheat)
Lineage: Eukaryota; Viridiplantae; Streptophyta; Magnoliopsida; Poales; Poaceae
Description: partial small subunit ribosomal RNA
Source: RNAcentral